Motacilla alba alba is the source of this 760-nucleotide long non-coding RNA. RefSeq lists it as uncharacterized. Lineage: Eukaryota; Metazoa; Chordata; Aves; Passeriformes; Motacillidae. The record is from RefSeq and is a predicted model, not a curated record. The transcript has 5 exons.
GCAACAUAUGAGGGGAACAUAGCAUGACUUGCUGUGAGCUCUCUGGAAGCCCUUUUCAAUAGUAUGGAGAAAAAAUAUCCUGAAAGACUGAUAAGGUUCCCAAGUGAUUUGAAGAUUGGUAAUGUGGUAAACAAAGAGAGGAUCAUUGACAGACAACCUGGGCAGCUCACUAAGCCAAGGACAAGCAGGUCAUCCCACAAAACAAUUAGGAGGGACUGGAGAUAUUUUAUUAUGUUGCUCUGUGUGCUACACGUCAAAGACACGCUGAGAGUCUGUGCACCAAAGUUUGGUUCCAAAGUCUGGGCUUUGCACAUUUGGAAAUGCGCUGUAGAAGGAGAAGCACUGAGUCAUCCUGAGCAAGAGGGGCCACAGGCUCUGCAGCACCUUAAAAAGGCACUGGAAAGCUUAAAAAAAGGAAAAUGGUUGAAGAGCUCUGGCAUAAAUCAUGCUUGCAGCAAGAAGGGACCAUGGCAAUAAAAGGAGCAACCUUGCAUGGAGAGGCAGUGCCUGGGCUGACCCACCCAACAGAGCACCACUGUGCUUCCUACCUGCAGGCAGAUCCAGUCCCAGCCCACCACGGGAGUCAUUUGGGGUGAGGAUGGGUGGAAGGAAGGUUGUGCGCAAGGAGGUGAGGUGCCAGUGGUGCACAAAAUGCCUUGCAGAACUGUAAUUACAGCAAGGAGCCAUUGUCCUUCAGGGGAGGCACCAAAAAAGUCCCCUCGCUUCAUCUCCUGGCCACCCUCCCAGCCUGGCAGCAGAG